Molecule: ribosomal RNA, 301 nt
Filed under: uncultured bacterium
Lineage: Bacteria
Description: partial 16S ribosomal RNA
Rfam family: Bacterial small subunit ribosomal RNA
Source: RNAcentral
CAGCAGCCGCGGUAAUACGUAGGUCCCGAGCGUUGUCCGGAUUUAUUGGGCGUAAAGCGAGCGCAGGCGGUUAGAUAAGUCUGAAGUUAAAGGCUGUGGCUUAACCAUAGUACGCUUUGGAAACUGUUUAACUUGAGUGCAAGAGGGGAGAGUGGAAUUCCAUGUGUAGCGGUGAAAUGCGUAGAUAUAUGGAGGAACACCGGUGGCGAAAGCGGCUCUCUGGCUUGUAACUGACGCUGAGGCUCGAAAGCGUGGGGAGCAAACAGGAUUAGAGACCCCGGUAGUCCCUGUCUCUUAUACC